UACGUAGGCAGCAAGCGUUGUCCGGAAUCAUUGGGCGUAAAGCGCGCGUAGGCGGCCCGAUAAGUCCGCUGUAAAAGUCAACGGCUCAACUGUUGAAAGCCGGUGGAUACUGUCGGGCUAGAGUACGGAAGAGGCAAGUGGAAUUCCUGGUGUAGCGGUGGAAUGCGCGGAUAUCAGGAGGAACACCUAUAGCGAAGGCAGCUUGCUGGGACGUUACUGACGCUAAGGCGCGAAAGCGUGGGGAGCGAACAGG
Molecule: ribosomal RNA, 253 nt
Filed under: uncultured bacterium
Lineage: Bacteria
Description: partial 16S ribosomal RNA
Rfam family: Bacterial small subunit ribosomal RNA
Source: RNAcentral